UGUUCUAGGUAAUCGCAGUGAGUCCAACGAUUCAUUGAGGAAAGUCCAUGCUCGCACAAGCUGCGAAGCUUGUAGUGAUCGUGCUUAGCGAAACCAUAAGCUAAGGUAACUUUUUAAGUUAACGGCGAAUAAAAAACCUAAGGUUUAACUAUGGUUGAGUCAUUCAUAAAGUGCCACAGAAACGAGUCUUAUUGGAAACAAUAAGAAUGGAACGCGGUAAACCCCUCGAGCGAGCAACCCAAACACUUAAGGUAGGGGCACUUCUUCUAGGGAAAUGAACCGAUGAAGAAGACACAUUUUUGUGUAGACAGAUGAUUACCCAUCACUUAAUGGCCUAUUCAUUAAGUGAGGACAGAACAUGGCUUAUAAGA
RNAcentral lists this RNase P RNA (371 nucleotides) under Dolosicoccus paucivorans. RNAcentral describes it as "Bacterial RNase P class B". It matches the Rfam family "Bacterial RNase P class B". From Rfam's summary of the family: Ribonuclease P (RNase P) is a ubiquitous endoribonuclease, found in archaea, bacteria and eukarya as well as chloroplasts and mitochondria. Its best characterised activity is the generation of mature 5'-ends of tRNAs by cleaving the 5'-leader elements of precursor-tRNAs. The record is from Rfam by way of RNAcentral. Lineage: Bacteria; Bacillati; Bacillota; Bacilli; Lactobacillales; Aerococcaceae.